RNAcentral lists this ribosomal RNA (774 nucleotides) under uncultured Neocallimastigales. RNAcentral describes it as "partial large subunit ribosomal RNA". It matches the Rfam family "Eukaryotic large subunit ribosomal RNA", at positions 20 to 641 of the family's 3401-position model. Lineage: Eukaryota; Fungi; Neocallimastigomycota; Neocallimastigomycetes; Neocallimastigales. The record is from RNAcentral.
UACUAGAGUAGCACUCGCAUAUCAAUAAGCGGAGGAAAAGAAACUAACAAGGAUUCCCUAGUAACGGCGAGUGAAGCGGGAAGAGCUCAAAUUUGAAAUCUUCAAGGGUUUUCCCUUGACGAAUUGUAGUUUAAAGAAGUGUUUUCUGUUAGAGAGUUUGGUAAAAGUUCUUUGGAAUAGGACAUCAUAGAGGGUGAGAAUCCCGUAUUUGAUCACUUUCUAGCUGUUGUGAUACACUUUCAAAGAGUCGGAUUGUUUGGGAAUGCAGUCCAAAAUGGGUGGUAAAUUUCAUCUAAAGCUAAAUAUUGGCGAGAGACCGAUAGCGAACAAGUACCGUGAGGGAAAGAUGAAAAGAACUUUGAAAAGAGAGUUAAACAGUACGUGAAAUUGUCAAAAGGGAAGCGUUUGACACCAGUGUUGUUUUUCCGAAAAUCAAUUAUGAAUGGCUUGAUUUUAAGUUUCAUGACCUUAAAAGCUUGUUUCUUAUUUUUCAUGUCUUUCGUAAUGCACUUUUCGGUUAACAAGUCAACAUCAAUUUCUUUUGUUGUAAAAGGUUAAGAGGAAGGUGGCUUUACUUUCGGGUAAAGUGUUUAUAGCCUUUUAAACUCUGCAAUCGGAGAGAUUGAGGUCUGCAGCGUAGAUCCUUCGGGGUUAGAUACAUUUGUGCUAAGUUAUAGCUUUUCAUAGACAACUUGUUGACUAUGUUAAGUCUUGUAAUUUACUCGCAGAUGCUAUUUUACCUACGCUUAGGAUGUUGAUAGUCACAGCGUGUAC